ACGUUUAUAAUUAUACUUAGCUAUUUAACAAACACUCACUGACCUAAGAGAAAUAUCCCCUGUAGGUGGAUGUGAGGAUGGGGUGCAGGGAGCUGUUGGCCGUGGGUAGGGGCAGGAUGAGGGAUAGGAACUGUGAGCGGGUCUCCUGGUGCCCCAAAGCGGAUACACACAUCGCAAAAGAAACCUCUGGACCCUCUCCACCCACCAGCACUUCCUGUAACGUCUUUCUCACCAAGGUUUUACUAUUUCGGCAGCAGCCACUGUAUGAGUCAUCUUCAACAGUAAGGGCCUCCUGACUACGGCAUUGUCUCGAGCAGAGGGGGCACUCUGUCGCCGCCCUCAUGGCAUGGUACUGCCAGUGCAGUUGGAGCUUCUCCUGAGUGGGGAACGCUAGGCUGCACCUGCUGCAACGGAAACGGGACCUGGACAAAUUCCCUACAGUUGGACAUGGACAAAUACUGUUAUGAACGCAACUGCUUUGCAUGAGGACCGCGCAUACAGCCUACAACACCAGUCUCAAGUGGACCGCACCGUACCACACUCCGAUUCAGCGAAACCAAGAUAGAUCGCGUUCAGUAUCCAGUAACAGGUGACUCAAUGCACAAGCAGAUUAACAAAAGCUCGAUUUGUGCGAUUUACAGGCUGCACUAACCAAACACCCCUUCCUCUCCAGCGCUGGGUUGCUUCCUCCCGUGCCUUUAAUAUCGUAAACAAAUGGAAGACUUACAUUUC
This is a long non-coding RNA of Etheostoma cragini (Arkansas darter), 732 nucleotides long. RefSeq lists it as uncharacterized. The transcript is spliced from 4 exons. NCBI's taxonomy places the organism in Eukaryota, Metazoa, Chordata, Actinopteri, Perciformes, Percidae. The record is from RefSeq and is a predicted model, not a curated record.